Molecule: ribosomal RNA, 450 nt
Filed under: uncultured bacterium
Lineage: Bacteria
Description: bacterial SSU rRNA
Rfam family: Bacterial small subunit ribosomal RNA
Source: RNAcentral
GUGGGGAAUUUUGGACAAUGGGCGCAAGCCUGAUCCAGCCAUGCCGCGUGAGUGAAGAAGGCCUUCGGGUUGUAAAGCUCUUUCGGCAGGAACGAAAUGGUUCGUGCUAAUACCACGGACUGAUGACGGUACCUGAAGAAGAAGCACCGGCUAACUACGUGCCAGCAGCCGCGGUAAUACGUAGGGUGCAGGCGUUAAUCGGAAUUACUGGGCGUAAAGCGUGCGCAGGCGGUUUCUUAAGUCAGAUGUGAAAGCCCCGGGCUUAACCUGGGAACUGCGUUUGAAACUGGGAGACUUGAGUGUGGCAGAGGGGGGUGGAAUUCCACGUGUAGCAGUGAAAUGCGUAGAUAUGUGGAGGAACACCGAUGGCGAAGGCAGCCCCCUGGGUUAACACUGACGCUCAUGCACGAAAGCGUGGGGAGCAAACAGGAUUAGAUACCCUAGUAGUCC